AGCGCAGGUGGUUGUAUAAGUCUGAAGUAAAAGGCAGUGGCUCAACCAUUGUGUGCUUUGGAAACUGUACAACUUGAGUGCAGAAGGGGAGAGUGGAACUCCAUGUGUAGCGGUGAAAUGCGUAGAUAUAUGGAAGAACACCAGUGGCGAAGGCGGCUGUCUGGUCUGCAACUGACGCUGAGGCUCGAAAGCAUGGGUAGCGAACA
RNAcentral lists this ribosomal RNA (206 nucleotides) under uncultured bacterium. RNAcentral's name for it is "partial 16S ribosomal RNA". It matches the Rfam family "Bacterial small subunit ribosomal RNA", at positions 568 to 774 of the family's 1533-position model. The record is from RNAcentral.